CGGGCAGUAGCUCAGUGGUAGAGCUCCUGCUUCGUAUGCGGGAAGACCUGGAUUCGAUUUCCGGUUGCUUAC
Transfer RNA from Toxocara canis (dog roundworm), 72 nucleotides. It matches the Rfam family "tRNA". Rfam says of the family: Transfer RNA (tRNA) molecules are approximately 80 nucleotides in length. The record is from Rfam. NCBI's taxonomy places the organism in Eukaryota, Metazoa, Nematoda, Chromadorea, Rhabditida, Toxocaridae.